AGUAGGGCAAAGCCAGAGGAAACUCUGGUGGAGGCUCGUAGCGGUGCUGACGUGCAAAUCGCUCGUCAAACUUGAGUAUAGGGGCGAAAGACUAAUCGAACCAUCUAGUAGCUGGUUUCCUCCGAAGUUUCUCUCAGGAUAGCAGGCCUAAAUAUUAUGAUUGUUGUGUGUGGUAAAGCGAAUGAUUAGCAUACUCGGGGUCGUUUAGACUCUGGAUGAUUCUCAAACUUUAAAUGCGCACGGAUGUUGCCGCUUGGGUGGGCGGCAUCUCUAAAAACUUGGGCUUUGUGGGCCACUUUUGGUAAGCAGAACUGGCGAUACGGGAUGAACCGUAAGUGUGGUUAAGGCGUCAAAUUGUCCGAUUAUAGAUUCCAAAAAAGGUGUUGAUUCAUCGAGACAGCAGGACGGUGGCCAUGGAAGUCGGAAUCCGCUAAGGAGUGUGUAACAACUCACCUGCCGAAUGAAUUAGCCCUGAAAAUGGAUGACGCUAAAGCGGGCAGCCGACACCACACCGUUUGGGCAAAAUAUACGUUUAAAUGAGUAGGAGGAACGUGGCGGUCGUAUCGAAGCGUGCGUGCAAACGUGCGUGGAACGGCCGCUAGUGCAGAUCUUGGUGUUAGUAGCAAAUAUUCAAAUGAGAACCUUGAAGGGCGAAGCGGGGAAGGGUUCCACGCGAACAUUGAUUGAGCGUGGGUAAGUCGUUCCUAAGCCGCGUGGCAAUAGCUAAUUACCGGCGAAAGGGAAGCAGGUUGAUAUUCCUGCACACGGAUGUGGAAGCGGUGACGCAUACUUGGGACGGUGAAGCUGGCGAUAGCUCUGGGCAGAGUUUUCUUUUCUGUUUAACUGACUGUGCUCGCAGUGUGGAAUCCGCUUGUCGGGAGAAACACGCGGGUUUGGGAAUAGCGCCGGGUUUUUUUCCGGCGUCCAGAACGCUAUCGUCGGACCUUGAAAAACUGUCUGCAGGCGAUUUUAAAUUGUACUUAUG
RNAcentral lists this ribosomal RNA (985 nucleotides) under Cumathamnion decipiens. RNAcentral describes it as "LSU rRNA". It matches the Rfam family "Eukaryotic large subunit ribosomal RNA", at positions 840 to 1844 of the family's 3401-position model. The record is from RNAcentral. Lineage: Eukaryota; Rhodophyta; Florideophyceae; Ceramiales; Delesseriaceae.